GUUUUGUGGCUAUGAAGAUUUACAACACAGCUUAAUACGCCAGUUCUGCUGCAGAGAAUUCUUGAUUGAGACGUAGAUUUCCGUACAUAAU
Hibiscus syriacus is the source of this 91-nucleotide small nucleolar RNA. Lineage: Eukaryota; Viridiplantae; Streptophyta; Magnoliopsida; Malvales; Malvaceae. The record is from RefSeq and is a predicted model, not a curated record.